RNAcentral lists this long non-coding RNA (2066 nucleotides) under Zalophus californianus (California sea lion). RNAcentral describes it as "lncRNA (ENSZCAG00015013289.1)". Lineage: Eukaryota; Metazoa; Chordata; Mammalia; Carnivora; Otariidae. The record is from RNAcentral.
GGGGGUAAGCCCUCACCCCUCCCUGCCCAGGGGUCAUCUGCAGACACCAAGACCCUAGGUGAGGCCAGUGGGGGCCAGCCUGGGCUCCCUCCCCACAACACACCCUCUGGGAGGCAGUGGGGGAUGGCUUCGAAGCCAGGACCCAGCCCUGCGGGGUGGGGAGGCUAGCCCAGGGGCAGGGGCUGGAGGGGCUGGUGGGGAAGGCAACUGGCCUUGCUUCUGCUUCCUAGCUGGGUGGCCACAGAGCUGCCUGGAGCCUCAGGGAGGUCCAGCAGGGGCGCCUGCACAACAAAAGGCCUGUUCCCGCCACUGGCCAGGCAUCCAGCCUCCGCUCACGGCGGCCUGGGACCAGUGCACUGGUGUGGGGGUGUUCCGCCUGGCCCAGCCCAGGUGCGGCACUUACCUGGUCCCCGCAGCAACCACGGGCUGCCACACAGCCCUCGGGCCCAGUGCCCAGUCCUUCAGGGAUCAGGGUGGAGCCGCUCUGGGCUGUUGGGCCCUCUGUCCGGCUUUCCUGGUGGGGCUGGGCGGGGCCAGGGAGGAGGGAGCAGGGAAGGGGCUGUGGCCUCAUCUCCAUGUGGGGCCCUGGCCCCUGAGCGGCCCACCCCAUUGUGUGCCUGGCCUGGCUCACAAUCACAGCCUUUGUGGUGGCUUCUCCCACCCAGGGGAACUCAAGCAUGGUGGGGGUCCUGGCCCCCCACCAGCUUCAAAGGGCAAGUUCCUCCUCCUCAUGUGGGCCCGUCCUAAGCCGGGGGACAGGUGGCUGGCCCCAGGCAGGGACUGAGCCUGAGCUUGGGGGCAGGUCUUGCUGUGUUGAACCCCCACCUCCUAGUCCUACAGGGUGAGGCAGACAGGCAAAGCACGUUGAACACGUGGGGGUGGAAAAGGCCCCAGAAUGAGCAGCCAGCAGAGGGUCCCUGCCGGGCUGGGUGGGGCCCCUCUCCCCCUGGCCCCUGCUUGGCGUCUGUGACCCUUAGUCUGGCUGUGGCAGGAAGGGGGAGACGGACCUGGGUGCGUCCCUCAGGGGAAAUUACUGGUCAGGGGAGUUACUGGUGCCUGGUGGAGGGGAUCUGGGCCUCAUGGCAAGGGCAGGUCGUGGGUGGGGGCCUCCCAAGUCAGAGUCGGAAGCUGUGGACCAUUUUGUGGCUACAGGGGACCCAGAGCAGAGAAUGGGCUUGGAGUCCCUUGCAAACUGUCCCCUCCUCCCUCCGGCUGGAAGCCUCAGCCUCCCCUCCCCAGGCUUCAGCUAAGGCAAGCGCCACUGGCCUCCCGCUCUCCCCCCCACCCCCUGCGGGAGGCUUUCGCGGAAGGCGGAGGGGAGAGAAGGGGGAGGGGGUCUCGGCCCACGUCCCGCCCCCAAGAAGACACCUGACCUGUCUCCAAGUUGCCGGCCCGUGGCGAGAGGGGCCUUUGUGCGCAUGGAGGCAGCUGCCUGGAACCCGGAGCCCUGAGCCGCCCCGGCUGCGCCGCCUCCCUGCGCCCUUCACUCACAGCCGGGGAGCUCGCAAAUAAAUCCACAAACACAAAAUCUUGUGUGCCGGGGAGAAACUGCGGCGUGGGCAGAGCGGAGAGCGGUGCGGGGUGCAGCGAGCCUGGGGCACGGAGAGGCUGGGCCCGCGCCCCCGGAGCCAACGGAAGCACAAACCCGCGCUGGGGCCUGGCAGCAGUAAGUUGACUUUUGUGAAACCUUCAGAGGCUCCAGGCCCAUCAAGAAGGUCCCCACCAGACGGGGGAAGAAGGGCGGGCAGGGUGGAGGCUGGAGGCGGGCUCCCUUUCCCACCCAGCACCUACUGGUCAGCUCCACCCCCACACCCAUGGCAGCCCUUCUUCCCGGAGGGCCAGGGUGAUGGGUCGCUGGUUACUGGGAACGGAAGGGCCGAGCCUCUGUGCUCAGGACUCUGACAUGUAAAAAUGGCAAGAAGAGAUGCUGCCGGCUGCGCAAAAACCUGGUCUGAUCCAAGAGAAGGAGAGCAACACCCCCACUGCCCUGCCCGCAGAGAGGAGGCAGAGAGGUGGUACAGGGCUCGGCCAGCAAAGGGAGCAGGUGGGCAAGGGGCGGUGACUCU